GCUAUACAUGCAAGUCGAGCGAACGGAUAAGGAGCUUGCUCCUUUGAAGUUAGCGGCGGACGGGUGAGUAACACGUGGGUAACCUACCUAUAAGACUGGGAUAACUUCGGGAAACCGGAGCUAAUACCGGAUAACAUUUAGAACCGCAUGGUUCUAAAGUGAAAGAUGGUUUUGCUAUCACUUAUAGAUGGACCCGCGCCGUAUUAGCUAGUUGGUAAGGUAACGGCUUACCAAGGCGACGAUACGUAGCCGACCUGAGAGGGUGAUCGGCCACACUGGAACUGAGACACGGUCCAGACUCCUACGGGAGGCAGCAGUAGGGAAUCUUCCGCAAUGGGCGAAAGCCUGACGGAGCAACGCCGCGUGAGUGAUGAAGGGUUUCGGCUCGUAAAACUCUGUUAUUAGGGAAGAACAAAUGUGUAAGUAACUGUGCACAUCUUGACGGUACCUAAUCAGAAAGCCACGGCUAACUACGUGCCAGCAGCCGCGGUAAUACGUAGGUGGCAAGCGUUAUCCGGAAUUAUUGGGCGUAAAGCGCGCGUAGGCGGUUUCUUAAGUCUGAUGUGAAAGCCCACGGCUCAACCGUGGAGGGUCAUUGGAAACUGGGAAACUUGAGUGCAGAAGAGGAAAGUGGAAUUCCAUGUGUAGCGGUGAAAUGCGCAGAGAUAUGGAGGAACACCAGUGGCGAAGGCGACUUUCUGGUCUGUAACUGACGCUGAUGUGCGAAAGCGUGGGGAUCAAACAGGAUUAGAUACCCUGGUAGUCCACGCCGUAAACGAUGAGUGCUAAGUGUUA
This 795-nucleotide ribosomal RNA is filed under the name Staphylococcus sp. H8-CRBM-T2P21. RNAcentral describes it as "bacterial SSU rRNA". It matches the Rfam family "Bacterial small subunit ribosomal RNA", at positions 48 to 825 of the family's 1533-position model. The record is from RNAcentral. Lineage: Bacteria; Bacillati; Bacillota; Bacilli; Caryophanales; Staphylococcaceae.